ACUUGGUGGGAACCAAUGCAUGAUCUUGCACUGGUUUGAUGGCCACAUCAAACAGAGCACUGUAGUGCGUUUGGUGGAAGCAAUACAUGAUCUGAGAAAAAAAAAUGAAGUGGUGCAUAUUGUGCUGAAUCAACAUGGCAGUUUACCAGACCUUUUGAUGCUCCGCACAUAUGUUCUUUGUAUCAUGCAAGUAUGUGGUAUUGUAUGACUGUAGAAAUUCUGAAAAAUUGUAGCCCUUCUCAAUAUUGUAACCUCUGUUGCUGUGGUAGACAACUUGUGAGUGUAAGAAGUUGUAAGAACCUAUAUAUGAAUAAGAUAUUUUGUUUUUUUAAAUAUGUAAGGGUGCAGCAAAGUAUUAUCGGAAUUUUGUUUGUGUACUGCUGGUGAAUA
Panicum virgatum (switchgrass) is the source of this 390-nucleotide long non-coding RNA. RefSeq lists it as uncharacterized. The transcript is spliced from 2 exons. The record is from RefSeq and is a predicted model, not a curated record. NCBI's taxonomy places the organism in Eukaryota, Viridiplantae, Streptophyta, Magnoliopsida, Poales, Poaceae.